AAAGGGUCUCUGCAAGGAUACUUCUCAGAUCCACACAGCACAGUAUGCUCCAGGAUGUGUGGGACCCCUGUGCUGUCCAUGGGGGUCGUCCUGAACUGGACACUAAACCACAGGAAACACUGGUAACGCCCAGGGGGAGGGGCCAGGUGCACCUGUGGCUCCUGACAAUCAGCAGUGAUGUUAAAAGCUGAGCCAACCUGAUCAUUUGUGGCCAGUGGACCAGAUCUGCAGCUCAUGUGUAGGGUUGGUUGUUUUGUGUUCUGCUGAAAGCCAGAAGUGUGGCGCUUAAUGGACUUGGUGAUACUGGGACCAGCUUCAUGUGCAAGAAGCUCGCCUUUCUUGUAAAAUAAAUAAUUAUUCUGAUACGUGA
Long non-coding RNA from Acanthochromis polyacanthus (spiny chromis), 370 nucleotides. RefSeq lists it as uncharacterized. NCBI's taxonomy places the organism in Eukaryota, Metazoa, Chordata, Actinopteri, Pomacentridae. The transcript is spliced from 2 exons. The record is from RefSeq and is a predicted model, not a curated record.